AACGAACGCGGGCGGCAUGCCUAACACAUGCAAGUCGAACGAGACCUUCGGGUCUAGUGGCGCACGGGUGCGUAACGCGUGGGAAUCUGCCCUUGGGUUCGGUAUAACAGUUGUAAACGACUGCUAAUACCGGAUGAUGACGUAAGUCAAAAGAUUUAUCGCCCAGGGAUGAGCCCGCGUAGGAUUAGCUAGUGGGUGGGGUAAAGGCCUACCAAGGCGACGAUCCUUAGCUGGUCUGAGAGGAUGGUCAGCCACACUGGGACUGAGACACGGCCCAGACUCCUACGGGAGGCAGCAGUGGGGAAUAUUGGACAAUGGGCGAAAGCCUGAUCCAGCAAUGCCGCGUGAGUGAUGAAGGCGGUAGGGUUGUAAAGCUCUUUUACCCGGGAUGAUAAUGACAGUACCGGGAGAAUAAGCCCCGGCUAACUCCGUG
Molecule: ribosomal RNA, 433 nt
Filed under: uncultured bacterium
Lineage: Bacteria
Description: partial 16S ribosomal RNA
Rfam family: Bacterial small subunit ribosomal RNA
Source: RNAcentral